RNAcentral lists this transfer RNA (74 nucleotides) under Cellulomonas iranensis. Its description in RNAcentral is "tRNA-Thr". It matches the Rfam family "tRNA". From Rfam's summary of the family: Transfer RNA (tRNA) molecules are approximately 80 nucleotides in length. Their secondary structure includes four short double-helical elements and three loops (D, anti-codon, and T loops). Further hydrogen bonds mediate the characteristic L-shaped molecular structure. tRNAs have two regions of fundamental functional importance: the anti-codon, which is responsible for specific mRNA codon recognition, and the 3' end, to which the tRNAs corresponding amino acid is attached (by aminoacyl-tRNA synthetases). tRNAs cope with the degeneracy of the genetic code in two manners: having more than one tRNA (with a specific anti-codon) for a particular amino acid; and 'wobble' base-pairing, i.e. permitting non-standard base-pairing at the 3rd anti-codon position. The record is from RNAcentral. RNAcentral also lists the same sequence under 2 other names. Lineage: Bacteria; Bacillati; Actinomycetota; Actinomycetes; Micrococcales; Cellulomonadaceae.
GCCGCCUUAGCUCAGUCGGCAGAGCGUCUCACUCGUAAUGAGAAGGUCAAGGGUUCGAUUCCCUUAGGCGGCUC